Small nucleolar RNA from Ornithorhynchus anatinus (platypus), 139 nucleotides. The record is from RefSeq and is a predicted model, not a curated record. NCBI's taxonomy places the organism in Eukaryota, Metazoa, Chordata, Mammalia, Monotremata, Ornithorhynchidae.
CCCCUCUAAGGACCACACCUGGAGAGUUUACAGUACUCUAUCAGUCUCGGCUAUGGGAGGGAGAGUCAAGCAGAGGUCUACCCAAUUCCACUCCUGGCUUGGGCAGUGGCUAGCGAGCGGAAGGCAAUCUGCUCCAAGU